This 513-nucleotide ribosomal RNA is filed under the name uncultured bacterium. Its description in RNAcentral is "partial 16S ribosomal RNA". It matches the Rfam family "Bacterial small subunit ribosomal RNA", at positions 28 to 523 of the family's 1533-position model. The record is from RNAcentral.
GACGAACGCUGGCGGCAUGCCUAAUACAUGCAAGUCGAGCGAACAGUUGAAGUGCUUGCACUUCUGACGUUAGCGGCGAACGGGUGAGUAACACGUAAGGAAUCUACCUAUAAGCGGGGGAUAACAUUCGGAAACGGGUGCUAAUACCGCAUAAUAUCUUCUUCCGCAUGGAAGGAGACUGAAAGACGGCUCUGCUGUCACUUAUAGAUGACCUUGCGGUGCAUUAGUUAGUUGGUGGGGUAACGGCCUACCAAGACGAUGAUGCAUAGCCGACCUGGGAGGGUGAUCGGCCACAUUGGGACUGAGACACGGCCCAAACUCCUACGGGAGGCAGCAGUAGGGAAUCUUCCGCAAUGGGCGAAAGCCUGACGGAGCAAUGCCGCGUGAGUGAAGAAGGCCUUCGGGUCGUAAAACUCUGUUAUAAGAGAAGAACAAAUUGUAGAGUAACUGCUACAGUCUUGACGGUAUCUUAUCAGAAAGCCACGGCUAACUACGUGCCAGCCGCCGCGGUAA